This is a non-coding RNA of Caulobacterales bacterium, 84 nucleotides long. NCBI's taxonomy places the organism in Bacteria, Pseudomonadati, Pseudomonadota, Alphaproteobacteria, Caulobacterales. The record is from Rfam.
CCUGCGGAACGGGCCCCUCUGGCGUCUUCGCGAUCCGGCGUAUCCCUUCGCCGCAUCGUAUCGACGCGAUGUCGGACCGCACGG